Molecule: non-coding RNA, 473 nt
Organism: Vicia faba (fava bean)
Lineage: Eukaryota; Viridiplantae; Streptophyta; Magnoliopsida; Fabales; Fabaceae
Source: the annotation of a GenBank genome assembly
AUGGUCCAUGGGUUCCGUUUAUUGGAACUCUGUUUCUAUUUAUUUUUGUUUCGAAUUGGUCAGGGGCCCUUUUGCCUUGGAAAAUUAUAAAGUUACCUCAUGGAGAGUUAGCUGCACCCACAAAUGAUAUAAAUACUACUGUUGCAUUAGCUUUACUUACGUCAGUAGCCUAUUUCUAUGCGGGUAUUUCAAAAAAGGGAUUGGCCUAUUUUGGUAAAUACAUCCAACCAACGCCAAUCCUUUUACCGAUUAACAUCUUAGAAGAUUUCACAAAACCCUUAUCGCUUAGUUUUCGACUUUUUGGAAAUAUAUUAGCGGAUGAAUUAGUAGUUGUUGUUCUUGUUUCGUUAGUACCUUUAGUAGUUCCUAUACCUGUUAUGUUCCUUGGAUUAUUUACAAGUGGUAUUCAAGCUCUUAUUUUCGCUACUUUAGCUGCGGCGUAUAUAGGUGAAUCCAUGGAAGGGCAUCAUUGA